AGGAAUUUGCCUCGAAGUCGAACAUAGCUUCGUGAAAACGGAGGUAAUAUUCGAUGGUGUCCUGUCAUCGCAUGGUGACAAGACUAAAGAUGGGGACCGCAAGGCCUACCACUUCGAGAUGACCUCCGCGUCCUAUCAGCUAGUUGGUGAGGUAAUGGCUCACCAAGGCUUUUGACGGGUAGCUGGUCUGAGAGGACGAUCAGCAACACUGGGACUGAGACACUGCCCAGACUCCUACGGGAGGCUGCAGUCGAGAAUCUUUAGCAAUGGGCGCAAGCCUGACUAUGCGACGCCGCGUGCAGGAUGAAGGCUUUCGGGUUGUAAACUGCUUUUGUCAGGAAAGAAAGCCCUGUAUCAUAACAUGGUGCAGGGUUGACGGUA
This 381-nucleotide ribosomal RNA is filed under the name uncultured bacterium. RNAcentral's name for it is "SSU rRNA". It matches the Rfam family "Bacterial small subunit ribosomal RNA", at positions 120 to 477 of the family's 1533-position model. The record is from RNAcentral.